This 274-nucleotide ribosomal RNA is filed under the name uncultured bacterium. RNAcentral's name for it is "partial 16S ribosomal RNA". It matches the Rfam family "Bacterial small subunit ribosomal RNA", at positions 523 to 796 of the family's 1533-position model. The record is from RNAcentral.
CUACGGAGGGUGCAAGCGUUAAUCGGAAUUACUGGGCGUAAAGCGUGCGUAGGUGGUUUGUUAAGUUAGAUGUGAAAGCCCCGGGCUCAACCUGGGAACUGCAUUUGAAACUGGCAUACUAGAGUAUAGGAGAGGAAAGUGGAAUUUCAGGUGUAGCGGUGAAAUGCGUAGAUAUCUGAAGGAACAUCAAUGGCGAAGGCAGCUUUCUGGACUAAUACUGACACUGAGGUACGAAAGCGUGGGUAGCAAACAGGAUUAGAAACCCGAGUAGUCC